This 1259-nucleotide ribosomal RNA is filed under the name uncultured bacterium. RNAcentral describes it as "bacterial SSU rRNA". It matches the Rfam family "Bacterial small subunit ribosomal RNA", at positions 8 to 1263 of the family's 1533-position model. The record is from RNAcentral.
AGAGUUUGAUCCUGGCUCAGAUUGAACGCUGGCGGCAUGCUUUACACAUGCAAGUCGAACGGCAGCGGGGGCUUCGGCCUGCCGGCGAGUGGCGAACGGGUGAGUAAUGCAUCGGAACGUGCCCAUGUCGUGGGGGAUAACUACGCGAAAGCGUGGCUAAUACCGCAUACGCCCUGAGGGGGAAAGCGGGGGAUCUUUCGGGACCUCGCGCGAUUGGAGCGGCCGAUGUCGGAUUAGCUAGUUGGUGGGGUAAGGGCUCACCAAGGCGACGAUCCGUAGCUGGUCUGAGAGGAUGAUCAGCCACACUGGGACUGAGACACGGCCCAGACUCCUACGGGAGGCAGCAGUGGGGAAUUUUGGACAAUGGGCGCAAGCCUGAUCCAGCAAUGCCGCGUGUGUGAAGAAGGCCUUCGGGUUGUAAAGCACUUUUGUCCGGAAAGAAAUCUCCUGGGUUAAUACCUCGGGGGGAUGACGGUACCGGAAGAAUAAGCACCGGCUAACUACGUGCCAGCAGCCGCGGUAAUACGUAGGGUGCGAGCGUUAAUCGGAAUUACUGGGCGUAAAGCGUGCGCAGGCGGCUAUGCAAGACAGAUGUGAAAUCCCCGGGCUCAACCUGGGAACUGCAUUUGUGACUGCAUGGCUAGAGUGCGUCAGAGGGAGGUGGAAUUCCGCGUGUAGCAGUGAAAUGCGUAGAGAUGCGGAGGAACACCGAUGGCGAAGGCAGCCUCCUGGGAUGACACUGACGCUCAUGCACGAAAGCGUGGGGAGCAAACAGGAUUAGCCUACCCUGGUAGUCCACGCCCUAAACGAUGUCAACUAGCUGUGUGGGGCCUUCGGGCCUUAGUAGCGCAGCUAACGCGUGAAGUUGACCGCCUGGGGAGUACGGUCGCAAGAUUAAAACUCAAAGGAAUUGACGGGGACCCGCACAAGCGGUGGAUGAUGUGGAUUAAUUCGAUGCAACGCGAAAAACCUUACCUACCCUUGACAUGUCUGGAAUCCUUUAGGGAUAGAGGAGUGCUCGCAAGAGAACCGGAACACAGGUGCUGCAUGGCUGUCGUCAGCUCGUGUCGUGAGAUGUUGGGUUAAGUCCCGCAACGAGCGCAACCCUUGUCAUUAGUUGCUACUUAAUGGCACUCUAAUGAGACUGCCGGUGACAAACCGGAGGAAGGUGGGGAUGACGCCUAGUCCUCAUGGCCCUUAUGGGUAGGGCUUCACACGUCAUACAAUGCUCGGGACAGAGGGUUGCCAAUCCGCGAGGG